Molecule: ribosomal RNA, 468 nt
Filed under: uncultured bacterium
Lineage: Bacteria
Description: partial 16S ribosomal RNA
Rfam family: Bacterial small subunit ribosomal RNA
Source: RNAcentral
GACGAACGCUGGCGGCGUGCUUAGCACAUGCAAGUCGAACGGAAAGGCCCUGCUUUUGUGGGGUGCUCGAGUGGCGAACGGGUGAGUAACACGUGAGUAACCUGCCCUUGACUUUGGGAUAACUUCAGGAAACUGGGGCUAAUACCGGAUAGGAGCUCCUGCUGCAUGGUGGGGGUUGGAAAGUUUCGGCGGUUGGGGAUGGACUCGCGGCUUAUCAGCUUGUUGGUGGGGUAGUGGCUUACCAAGGCUUUGACGGGUAGCCGGCCUGAGAGGGUGACCGGCCACAUUGGGACUGAGAUACGGCCCAGACUCCUACGGGAGGCAGCAGUGGGGAAUAUUGCACAAUGGGCGGAAGCCUGAUGCAGCAACGCCGCGUGCGGGAUGACGGCCUUCGGGUUGUAAACCGCUUUCGCCUGUGACGAAGCGUGAGUGACGGUAAUGGGUAAGGAAGCACCGGCUAACUACGUG